Molecule: unclassified non-coding RNA, 301 nt
Organism: Callithrix jacchus (white-tufted-ear marmoset)
Lineage: Eukaryota; Metazoa; Chordata; Mammalia; Primates; Cebidae
Rfam family: Metazoan signal recognition particle RNA
About the family: The signal recognition particle (SRP) is a universally conserved ribonucleoprotein. It is involved in the co-translational targeting of proteins to membranes.
Source: Ensembl
GCUGGGCACGGUUGGCGCAUGCCUGUAGUCCCAGCUAUUCUGGAGGCUGAGGUGGGAGGAUAGCUUGAGUCCAGGACUUCUGCGCUGUAGUGCGCUAUGCCAAUCGGGUGUCUGCACUAAGUUAGGCACGAAUAUGGUGACCUCCCAGGAUCGGGGGACCACCAGGUUGCCUAAGGAGGGGCGAACCGGCCCAGGUUGGAAACGGAGCAGGUCAAAACUCCCGAGCUGAUCCGUAGCGGGAUCGCGCCUAUGAAUAGCCACUGCACUCCAGCCUGGGCAACAUAGGGAGACCCCGUCUCUU